UCGCAUCUCAUGCCCACCACAUCCACACUCAACAGAUCUCCACGCUACGGCCCUAAAAAGGUUAGCCUAUGAUAGGGUGAGAUAAAAUCUCAGCGAGUCAAAACUCUAAACCCUAGUUAGGAUGCAAAUUCACCUCGAAGGCGGUCUUAAGCAUACAUCAUAUAGAACUUACCUCGUCUCGGCGCGUACUUGCAUGUUAGCUCAACAUAUAUACCAUCAACAGUGCAAUAAGCGCAAUUAAUAAUCGGAGCACAUCAAUUCAUCCAUCAAAUAAUCACAUGAGUUCCAAUUAUAAGUCAAAACUGUUAUCACGCGUCCUAUAUCGUGUCACACAAUUUUGCCCAAUAAUUAGACGCAUCUAUCAUAACCAUCAAGGCGUGUUAUAGUUAUUACGACCUAUUGGCCACGGCCAACUCGACAGUCGGCACUCAUCCGACAUAACUAGGCAUUGUCCCGCUCCAUCGAGCACGGCAUCAUCCAGCGUAUUCAUAUGCAUCAGGACAGCAUUCCACAUAGGAGCAUCAGCUUGGCCUCUACCACGAUUGGCAUCCGUUGACAUGGGGCAUCCAAACUUAGUUAGGCAUUGUCCCGCAUAUUCAUACGCAUUAGGACGGGUUCAUUACCCUGCAUAUUCAUACGCAUCAGGGUAUUAGGUGAUCACACAAGCACACUAUCAAUCAACCCAAUUCUUAUCUUCCGUUAAUCAGCCCAAAAUACCAAAUUCCUUUUUAAAACAAUAAACCUUGCAACUCUUUUUUUUUUUUUGUUCAAAGCUUUCUAAAAUAAAUUCGUAUGCGGUCAUGUACUCAAAAUCAAACCAUCAAAAUUUGCACGCUUCUACCAUAAAACCUCCUUGUUUUACUGAGCAAAUAAAAUCUAGCGUCCAAACCCAACACCUAAUUUAUUUUCUAUUUUCUUUUCCAACCAUCUUUUUUUUAAAACUAAAUUGGGUAAUCCCCAUUUUUUUUGUUCUAAACCUUUGGAAAGAAAUUCAUAGGUACUCACGUACUCCAAAUUAAUCCGCCAAACUUUGCACACACCUAGUUUAAAACCUCAUUGUUUUAUGGAGCAAAUAAGUUUUGGUGUCCAACCCGACAUCUAAUUGUUUUUCUAAUUAAAAGCCCAUAAGGCCAUCUUUUGCAUCACCAAUAAACACUCACCAUAGCACAACCAUUCACAUGUCAUCACGCAUAAGUGCUAAGCAUGUCACAAGUCAACCACAUCACCAAAUAUACACUAUCCAUCAAGCACUACACCAAAAACAACCACAAAACCACUACCGGCCCCAACCGGCAAAAACCGGGCCACUCGUGCGUCUCCAAGUUUAAAUCCAGAAAUCUAACCAAACGAAUUUGGAAGAUUCUCAAAUUUGAAUAUGUUAUAAAGGACACUUAAAAUAAAAAAUUUUAUGGACACACCUUGACCUAGAUCUUUCUAGAUUGAGAGUAGUAAUUUGUCCAAACCGUUACAAAAACUAUGACCGUGUCCAGAAAUUACGUUCUUCAAAAUUAGUUUGGUUUGAGAUCCAAAACUUGUCCGUUUAAUCUGAAUUUAAUUAUGUUAAACCACAAGAUGUGAGGAAAAAAUUUUGUGAAUGAAAUCUUUCAAAAAUCAAACCCUAAAAGUUGAUAAAAAUCAUUUGAACACCAAAAGGUCACUAUUUCCAACACAAUCCGAGAUUCUAUUUUGCAAAUAACAAGGCUGAAAACAUUAUUUUUUUUAAUUCCAUAAAAUCAUGAGUAAAAUAUAUGUCAUAGCUAAAGAUGUUUAGGGCAUUUUUUAAGAAGGAAGAAACUUCAAAAUCAGAGCACAUCUUUCCCCACAAAAAUAGCAAACGGUGAGGGUCCAGUAACCAAAUCCGAGGGAAAUCCACUAAAUUAGACUAAAUCACCCUCAUUAGUGCUAAUCUAACCAAUUAGAUUAACACUAAUCUAUAUUAAGGCUAAUUUAACCAAAUUAGAUUAACACUAAUCCAACUUAAGGCUAAUCUAACUUAACACUAAUCUAAUCAAGCUAAUUAACAUUAAUUUAACCCCCUAAGUGCAAUUAACAAUCUAAUCAAGGAUUAGGGAGUUAACUCACCAGAAUUCGAUGACAGCGAGAACUUGAGCCUACUGCAUCUCGAAUGGGGGCUUGAUGGAUGCUGUGGCUAUCCCACAGGUGCUCAGCCAAGAGGGAC
Molecule: long non-coding RNA, 2179 nt
Filed under: Eucalyptus grandis
Lineage: Eukaryota; Viridiplantae; Streptophyta; Magnoliopsida; Myrtales; Myrtaceae
Description: long non-coding RNA (EGRA_LNC001685)
Source: RNAcentral